GACAGAGGGUGCAAACGUUGUUCGGAAUUACUGGGCGUAAAGCGCGUGUAGGCUGCUCUGUGUGUCGGAUGUGAAAGCCCCGGGCUCAACCUGGGAAGUGCACUCGAAACUACAGAGCUGGAGUCUCGGAGAGGGUCGCGGAAUUCUCGGUGUAGAGGUGAAAUUCGUAGAUAUCGAGAGGAACACCGGUGGCGAAGGCGGCGACCUGGACGAUGACUGACGCUGGAGACGCGAAAGCGUGGGGAGCAAACAGG
Molecule: ribosomal RNA, 254 nt
Filed under: uncultured bacterium
Lineage: Bacteria
Description: partial 16S ribosomal RNA
Rfam family: Bacterial small subunit ribosomal RNA
Source: RNAcentral